Molecule: ribosomal RNA, 450 nt
Filed under: uncultured bacterium
Lineage: Bacteria
Description: partial 16S ribosomal RNA
Rfam family: Bacterial small subunit ribosomal RNA
Source: RNAcentral
GUGGGGAAUAUUGGACAAUGGGCGAAAGCCUGAUCCAGCAAUGCUGCGUGCAGGAAGAAGGCCUUCGGGUUGUAAACUGCUUUUGUACGGAACGAAACGGUCCGGGUUAGUACCCUGGGCUAAUGACGGUACCGUAAGAAUAAGCACCGGCUAACUACGUGCCAGCAGCCGCGGUAAUACGUAGGGUGCAAGCGUUAAUCGGAAUUACUGGGCGUAAAGCGUGCGCAGGCGGUGUUGUAAGACAGGCGUGAAAUCCCCGGGCUCAACCUGGGAAUUGCGCUUGUGACUGCAAGGCUGGAGUGCGGCAGAGGGGGAUGGAAUUCCGCGUGUAGCAGUGAAAUGCGUAGAUAUGCGGAGGAACACCGAUGGCGAAGGCAAUCCCCUGGGCCUGCACUGACGCUCAUGCACGAAAGCGUGGGGAGCAAACAGGAUUAGAAACCCGGGUAGUCC